UCUACAUCCGAGGACACGCCGAG
RNAcentral lists this unclassified non-coding RNA (23 nucleotides) under Mus musculus (house mouse). Its description in RNAcentral is "oocyte_clustered_small_RNA8809". Lineage: Eukaryota; Metazoa; Chordata; Mammalia; Rodentia; Muridae. The record is from RNAcentral.